CAACACACUCAGUUUAGAACAAAAAGGUCCGCACACACAUUCUCUGCUCUAGAACCCUAGAAAUUGCGCGACAUAAUUACACCGGCGUUCAUCGUCUCCAUCCGAGUUCAGGCGCUCCAAAAGCUAUAAACCCUCGGUUUCGUCCCUACUUCUUCAAUCCCGACGUUUUUCCCGUACAUCUUGAUGGUCGUUGUUCUAUUUCGAGGGUUUCGAAGCUUGAGCUUAAUCAAUGGAUUGGGAGCUUAGUUUUUGAGUUGGUAAGCUUUGAUUGGUGUAAUACAUGGUGUAUUUGGUUGUUUUUUGGGUUAAUAUUGUGCUAUUGUGUAUAUAUGAAGAUUCCUGAUUUUGGUGUUCUUGAGGGCUACUGAUAUUAACCGUUUUUCUUGUGAUUUAUCUCUUAUGAUUUAAUUGAUUUGGUUUGCUUAUGAUUCGUUUAUGAUUUUUUUGAAUUGGUGUGCUUGACUUGCUUGUGAUUUGUAUCGGUGGCAUAUAGGGGUCUUUGUUUAGGGGACUUUUUAAUUAUGUGGAUUAUUUGUUUAGUUUGUUUCAGUUAUAUAAAUUAUUUGGGGCUUAUUAAUUAGGUGGAUUGUUUGUUAUAUAACGUGGUUAUUUUGGAGGAAGUGCAUCAGGUAAAGGGGAUGCGGCUAAAGCCUUGAUCAGGUGAAGCUUUGUUGUGUCUAAAAUGGCUGGUGUUGAAGCUGCUGCAUCAGGUUCAGGUGUCUAUUAACUUGUCUCUUGAAGAUUUGGUGCUUUCACCCGGAGUUUGUUAACCCUUUAAGCGAUGAUAUGUGUAAUUGGACUCUAUUAACUUGUCAUAUGUUGUUCUUGAGAAAGUGUUGCAUAUUAUUUUUUGUUCUUUUAUAUAACUUUUUAACUGUUUUUAUUUGCUCCAUUGCACGAAAAAAGCACACACAUAGCGGAUGUUGGUUCUGGUGUACUCUCUUGUCAUGACUAUUUAGCUGACAUGCUAUUACAGUAGUAGAUCUAGAGCUUCCACUUGGGAAGAAAUCUGAAAGUGCAUCGGAAAGCAGAACUGCAUCUAGAGAGGAAACGAUGAUGUACAAGGCACAAAUUGUCAAUGGCUAUAAGCAAAUUUACAGAUUUUACGUAGUUAAGUUGGGGUGGAUGAUGGGAGCUGCUGGUGUUUUUUUCCAACUCCACUAGGAUGACACCGUUCAACAUGGAAGGAGCGAUGUCCAUAUCAUGGGGUUUUAAUCUCAAAACAUGCUGAUCCUCCACAAUAAACAGACCAAACCUUUUUUCAUCAGUAGAGUUGUCGAAGGGACAGGACUAGUAUCAAGUCAUAUGUCAAAAUACCAUCACCUGAAAUCUGCAGAAACGUUAUAAUCUGAGCACCCAUUGUAGGUGUUCCUAAGCUAACCGUGAUGAGCUGGAAACCGUCUGUGAGGAUUUCAGCAACAUAAUUGAAACUCAUGAUUCCGUCACUGUCUACAAAGGCAAGGGUAAUACUGGUUCCCGUUGUAUCGUGGAGGCUAAUCACUUUUUUCCGGAACUGCCAGACAAGGAUCUGCAUCAAUAUGAUGUUUGAGUGAUUGGACUUUUCUGCAGAACUCCUCAGAAAAAUAGCAGAAGUGAGUUACUUAGACGAGUUGCUGCAUGUGGUGGUGCAUUAAUUAAAAGGCCUGGAUGGCACAAAAGUUCAUCUUCCAGGAACAAACCUAAACGACAUAGAUUUGAUUAUGUACUUUAUAGGCUUUGAUUAUGUACUUGAUAUUUAGAUUAGAUGGAUGUGUAGUAGUUGAUCGAUAUUGUAUUUGAUGGAUGUGUAGUCGGUGAAAUUAGAAUUUGAUGGAUGUAUGUACAAUUGGUUUAUAUAUGCAUUAAUAAGAUUUUGUUGUU
This is a long non-coding RNA of Daucus carota subsp. sativus, 1860 nucleotides long. RefSeq lists it as uncharacterized. NCBI's taxonomy places the organism in Eukaryota, Viridiplantae, Streptophyta, Magnoliopsida, Apiales, Apiaceae. The transcript has 5 exons. The record is from RefSeq and is a predicted model, not a curated record.